CCCAACCAAGGUGAACUGGGCUCAAGCUUCUUUGGGGAGGCAGACGAGGCUGCAGGAGGCCAUGUGAGUGGCAUCUGCAUAUGUCCAACCACUGCCAUUGUCUCUGUUCUAGAUUAAUUAGAUGCUGGUUUGUCUUUAGCAAUUUUGGAAUACCCUUUACACCCCAGGUGCUCAAAGCAACCUGCUUGGAAAUAGCAUAAAUUAUGGGGCCCAGAGAACAUGUUCCAGAGCACGGGCCUGGGUUUCUACAUUAUUACAUCAUUUUAACUACGCCUCUACCCUCUUCCCCAAUUACAAGUGGCAAGGGAGGAAGACAUAAUUAUUGGGAACACAUCUCUGAAGACAAAUCAGAUGCCCUAGCCCUCUGUGACUGUUUUCUGUUGAUGUUUGGAUUGUGAGCCUAGCCUUUAAUGGCUGAGCCAUCUCUCCAGCCUGUACUAUUUUGUAUAUAUAUCAGCAAAACCUGACAUUAUAUUCCUGAUUCCUGAAAGACCUCUUGUUUGGUUGAAAAUAGCCUUUGAGCCCAUGCUCUAGAAUCUAGAAUUUGGAGUCUAGAUACUUACUCAGGAAGUCACAAUGGGCCUAGGGAUCUGCAUGUUAGCAAGAUUCUCCAGGGCUGCUAAUGCUGGGAGUACUGAAGGCUGGUGGAUUCACACCUUGGGGGAAAGCAGAGAGUUUCCUUGGCAACAGAUGACUAAUUUAGAAGUCCCUGUGAACAGGUGGGAGACAGGAAAGGACAUGAGAAGCAACACAUCCGUAGGUGCCAAGUUUAAACAACAAGCUCCCGACAGACUCAGGGUAUUUUUUAUCACAGCGGCAUAAACGAAACUAGGACACUGACCUACACACUAAAGGCUGAGGAUCUCUACAAUGGGCUGUUCCUCAUUCCUAGCCAUGGGAGGGCCAUUUGGGAAUAAAGGCACUUCCUCUUACUCCAACAAA
Molecule: long non-coding RNA, 942 nt
Organism: Rattus norvegicus (Norway rat)
Lineage: Eukaryota; Metazoa; Chordata; Mammalia; Rodentia; Muridae
Source: RefSeq, a predicted model, not a curated record